Non-coding RNA from Pelobates cultripes (western spadefoot toad), 214 nucleotides. The record is from the annotation of a GenBank genome assembly. NCBI's taxonomy places the organism in Eukaryota, Metazoa, Chordata, Amphibia, Anura, Pelobatidae.
UCUCUUAGUUCUCUUUUCCAGAUAAUAGGAGAUGGAGUGGAUCCCUGGAAGAGCAGCCCACAUAAGGAAUAUGAAGUGCAAGAAAACAGCAGUCGUGAUGUGGUGGUUAUGUGUAUCGUUUUUUAUGUAUAUACUGUAUAGCUUAGAAAAAGGGAAUGUCAUGAUGAAGAAUAAUAAUAAAAUAGUACAUCAGAGUACUCCAGUAGAGGGUAAU